UGAUUAGAAUAUAAAGUUGAAAAAAAAAAUAAAUUUGAGGAAAUUUCUUUUUUUUUUUUUGUAAAUUGCACUUUUGGUUCGAGGAGCCUAGUAUUUUGGUUCUCAAAUUUUAAUUGGUCGUAAUUUUUAGCUCAAAUUUUUUGAACUACUAUAAUCAAGUCAUAUGAUUCAAUUUAGUUGACUAAAUAUUAGUAAAUUGUUGAUGUAGAAGUGACGCAAAAGUAUUUAGCCACUUUCAUAUAUAUCAACAAUUUGUCGACAUUUAGUUAAGUAAAUUGGGCUGUGAAACUUAAUUGCAAUAAUUCAGAAAGUUCAAGUAAAAAAUUAUAGCAAAUUAAAACUUGAGGAUCAAAGUGUCACGCGCCUCAUAGUUUGGCGACCAAAAGUAUAAUUUAUCUUUUUUUUUUUUCUUUUUUCAAAUGAUUUAUAAA
RNAcentral lists this long non-coding RNA (431 nucleotides) under Ananas comosus (pineapple). RNAcentral describes it as "long non-coding RNA (ACOM_LNC019256)". The record is from RNAcentral. Lineage: Eukaryota; Viridiplantae; Streptophyta; Magnoliopsida; Poales; Bromeliaceae.